ACUCUGUGUCAAAUAGAAUUGAAGGCAAAAACAUUAAGAUUGGGUGAUUUUUUUUUUCAUCCUAGGGGAACCUGAUUUGAGAUCCAAUUCUUGGAGAGCACAGAGAAGUGUGGUGGUAUGUUCCAGGCUUGAACCAGCUGCCCUUUGACCCUGCCAGCAACAACGAGCCCCUGCAAUUUGGUAGUGCCAGUGGCCCUCUGGUCACAGAAGGCCUCAUUGAGAAUGGAGGGGAGUCAAGCAAGAAAAGAAAGAGAACAAAUACUCCUUCAGGUAAGCUAGGUGAUAAUGAACUCUAAGUCAGUGCUAUUGAGUCAGCAUUUUCCCAGGGUU
Molecule: long non-coding RNA, 330 nt
Filed under: Dasypus novemcinctus (nine-banded armadillo)
Lineage: Eukaryota; Metazoa; Chordata; Mammalia; Cingulata; Dasypodidae
Description: lncRNA (ENSDNOG00000051482.1)
Source: RNAcentral